Microcebus murinus (gray mouse lemur) is the source of this 899-nucleotide non-coding RNA. NCBI's taxonomy places the organism in Eukaryota, Metazoa, Chordata, Mammalia, Primates, Cheirogaleidae. The record is from RefSeq and is a predicted model, not a curated record.
UGGCUGAACCCCAAAGGUGAGCGCAACUAGGACAGCACAAUGAAGGGGCAGAAUGGUGCAUUCCAGAAAAUCAGCUGCACCCUAGGCUGGCUGAAUCCAAGAAGAAAAUGUUACGUAUAGAGCAAAAUAGAUAGAUGGAGUAUCCUUCAUGCAACCCUCCCUAGAUGUUAGUAUCUUCAAACCAAGCCUUUGAAGAAUGUUGAACAAUGUCCCACAAUUCUCUUCCUCCAUAUCACUUGGGGAGCUCUUUAAAAAUGCAUUUCUUAAGCAUCACCCUGGGUCUCACACAGCAGAAUCUCUGAGGGGAAAGCCUUUUUUGGCUGGCUUUGGCACUUCUUAACAGCCAAAGAGAGAAAGUGACCCUUCGCAAGAGGCAGAAAACCUUUCAAGUUGGGCCCGCAUGUCACAUUGUUUUAAGGACACAUUUUUCACACCAUGACUCAGGGCCUCUGAGAGUGAGGAGCCUCAUCGUGACACGGGGAAAUCCACGGGAGAGGAAGGUGCCCAAGGUCACGAGACGAGGCGGCCCAGCGCAGGGGCAAUAGCUCAGUCGGGGAAGUAGCAUGGGGGCUUGGAAGCGUCAUUGGCUCUUCACCUGCCUGCUAUUACGGGUGCAAUGACACCGUGGGACACUGCGAUUUAUCAGAAGAAAAUAGCCUGGUAACAGGAGCAGAACUAGACCUCAUUAAGAUGAAACAGUGUCUGAUAUCCUUGAGUCAGACAAAAGAGAAUAUGAAAUUGAUGUGGUCAGCGUCGCUGCCACGCUGCAUUUGAAAAGAAUCAAACCAAGUGGCAAUUGACAGCGCUUCGGGAGGGAGAGACCCACAAAUGAAACAGAAGCAUGUUGAAUGUAAACCUCUCGUCUUAAAAUGCAUUAAAAAUAUGACUUUCCCAUUUGA